RNAcentral lists this ribosomal RNA (38 nucleotides) under zygomycete sp. GFI 1. Its description in RNAcentral is "partial 28S ribosomal RNA". The record is from RNAcentral. Lineage: Eukaryota; Fungi; Mucoromycota.
CUCGAUCUCAAAUCAAGUAAGACUACCCGCUGAACUUA